Molecule: ribosomal RNA, 697 nt
Filed under: Escherichia coli
Lineage: Bacteria; Pseudomonadati; Pseudomonadota; Gammaproteobacteria; Enterobacterales; Enterobacteriaceae
Also listed under: 1 other name
Description: partial 23S ribosomal RNA
Rfam family: Bacterial large subunit ribosomal RNA
Source: RNAcentral
GUCAUGGUUAAGUGGGAAACGAUGUGGGAAGGCCCAGACAGCCAGGAUGUUGGCUUAGAAGCAGCCAUCAUUUAAAGAAAGCGUAAUAGCUCACUGGUCGAGUCGGCCUGCGCGGAAGAUGUAACGGGGCUAAACCAUGCACCGAAGCUGCGGCAGCGACACUAUGUGUUGUUGGGUAGGGGAGCGUUCUGUAAGCCUGUGAAGGUGUGCUGUGAGGUAUGCUGGAGGUAUCAGAAGUGCGAAUGCUGACAUAAGUAACGAUAAAGCGGGUGAAAAGCCCGCUCGCCGGAAGACCAAGGGUUCCUGUCCAACGUUAAUCGGGGCAGGGUGAGUCGACCCCUAAGGCGAGGCCGAAAGGCGUAGUCGAUGGGAAACAGGUUAAUAUUCCUGUACUUGGUGUUACUGCGAAGGGGGGACGGAGAAGGCUAUGUUGGCCGGGCGACGGUUGUCCCGGUUUAAGCGUGUAGGCUGGUUUUCCAGGCAAAUCCGGAAAAUCAAGGCUGAGGCGUGAUGACGAGGCACUACGGUGCUGAAGCAACAAAUGCCCUGCUUCCAGGAAAAGCCUCUAAGCAUCAGGUAACAUCAAAUCGUACCCCAAACCGACACAGGUGGUCAGGUAGAGAAUACCAAGGCGCUUGAGAGAACUCGGGUGAAGGAACUAGGCAAAAUGGUGCCGUAACUUCGGGAGAAGGCACGC